GUUCCUUUCAUCACAACAAACGUUAUGGAGAUUAUGCGAUACCAGGCACUGUGCUAGCUGAUAGGGUGGGGGUCAGAGUACCCAGCGAGGCUAGACAUUGUGUGGGAUUCAGAGAAAGCAUAUAAUAGGGCUCCUCCCACAAGAAGCUUGUGGCCACACCAGGGAGAGAGAAUGGAUGCACAUGAGCAUACGAAACUCUUAGAAGGACUUAGGCAGGAAGCACAGGUGAUAGGCAGAAUGUGUGAUAUGAGGGUAAGGGCUGAGCAACCAACGCAGAGGAAUUGGAGAGGCCAGAAUAAUCAGAAAAGCUUUGGAGGGGGUAGGAUGUGACCUACAUUUUCAGAACAAGAGUGGAGUAGAAAAGGCAUUCCAGGUGGGAUAAACAGCGGAGGCAAAUACAUGAGAGGGAAUUAAAUCUGUUGUGAUUUAUUUGAUAGUAAGAUUGACCUGCCUGGCAUCGAGUUGAAGUAGAGGCAAAAGACACUGAAUAUUUGCAAGGAGGUCCUUAGAAUGGAGUGAUAUGGAAAUAAGCAGCCAUUAUAGGUUCUUGAGCAGGAACAUUUUGCAUGAAAAGCACUGCUUUGGAAUGAUGAGUCUAGAAAGGUAACACUGACCUCUCUAAGGUGGCAUUCUAGGGAGAGACCUGAGUAUUUGGGGCUGAGAUUGAGAGAGGAGCUUACUUUUCUUGGUAUAUUUUUAUUUACUAUUCAAGUUCUGCAUCAUGUGUGUUUACUGCCUAUUUAAUAAUUAUUUUUAAAUUUAAAGAACCCAUUGUGGCAGCAGGGGGAAUUCUCUAAGCUCAGUUACUAAAGGGUUAUGAAGCUGGGUAUGGUAGCACACACCUGUAGUCUCAGCUACUUGGGAGGCUGAGGUGCGAGGAUCGCUUGAGUUUAGGAGUUAGUGGGAGGAUUUCUUGAGCCCAGGAGUUAAGAGACCAGCCUGGGCAUCAAAAAAAUUAAGUUAAAUUAAAAUGUUAAAAGGUUCUGUAUAUGGUGGAGAUGGAGGAGAUCGGGGGAGGAGAUGAGAAAGGGGCAAGCAUAAGUAGGAACAAAUGCAAUAUUUCCCCAGCUGCGCGAGGGCAGGAGCAGGAAGAACUAAACCCAAUUAGGAACAACAGAGGACAGAUGAGUAGAUAGCAGACAUCUGACGGGAAAUGGCCACGCCACACUUCUCACCCAGGCAGUUCAACGUAGGCAAUUUCUGAGUGCCCUGGUAUUUUUUGUGUAAGUGUCUAGAAAACAGAUCACAAAGUUAGCCAAAUUAAAAAGGAAGCAGGGAGUCCUAUUUCUCCGAGAAGAAAGAUUUACAGGUGGGAUCUCAGGCAGGAGCCAAGCUGGAGAAGCAGGCUUGAUUCCUUGUAGUGGGUGAGGAGACUGCUGGGAGAGGGCAGGGAAGCAGAGACCGGCAAAAAGCUGCCCCAACAAGAAUCCUGUGCCUGCCAACCUGGUUUACAAACAUUUCCCACUUUAUCCCCCUCAGAAAGUCACAGCACCCAUUUCAUGUUCUGUGAGGCUCCCAAGGAGGGAAACUUCUAGUUUGCUGUCCUUUACCUCACCCCUGUGACCACAGCACUAAUUUCUCAUGAAUUCUUGUUACCAAUGAGAUACAAAUGUUUGGGGAGCUCUGGCCUGGUCUGAUUUUGAGCUCUGUGGAAAUACGCAGACCACGGGGGAGGAGGCCGGGAAAUGGACUCGGUUUGAGGGCUUGCUCAAGGAUGCGGUUUUGUUUUUCGGCUGAUUUACUCCAAGACAGCCAGAGAUUGUUCUGUCGUUGCCACAGAGGUGACUAAACAGGAAGGUAAGUUUGAGGUAGGAAGAAAACCAUCCCCAGGAGUUUCAUGUAGCAAAGAAGGAAGUAGCUGUUACAAAUGGGUGACAGUUUACAUGUGGGUCUAACAGUCUCAGCUCUGUUGUUCAAUCUUUCAGUUAUACUCAGAGAGUAAGCGGGAGGAGCCUUGGGGCUGCUAUUGAGUGCAGCAUCCUGAAGGCUGUUCUUCAAGUGUUACUCAGACUACUAUCCCAAGAGCACUCAAGGCAGUUCUUCCUCCAUCCCUGCUCCCUAGCUCCCUUGGCUUUGAUGAGUUUAUUACAAAAGGGCUAUUCACUUUAGAAUAGGAGGGUAAUUAAGACUCCUGGUCUGCAGCCCAG
Molecule: long non-coding RNA, 2147 nt
Filed under: Homo sapiens (human)
Lineage: Eukaryota; Metazoa; Chordata; Mammalia; Primates; Hominidae
Description: HSALNT0013288
Source: RNAcentral